AUUAUUACCUGGCAGAGAAGAUACCAUGAUCAAGAAGGUGGCUUUCCCAGAGUGAGGUUCCCCCAUUGCACUCUGGGUAUGCUGGCUUCUGCGAUCUCUCCAAGUGUAGGAAACUCAACUGCAUGGUCUAUGGUAGUGGGGGGGGGAUAGUAUUUGGGCUUUCCCUUA
Arvicola amphibius (Eurasian water vole) is the source of this 168-nucleotide small nuclear RNA. RefSeq annotates it as U1 spliceosomal RNA. The record is from RefSeq and is a predicted model, not a curated record. Lineage: Eukaryota; Metazoa; Chordata; Mammalia; Rodentia; Cricetidae. The transcript has a single exon.